CAGUAGCCGCGGUAAUACGAAGGGGGCUAGCGUUGUUCGGAAUUACUGGGCGUAAAGCGCACGUAGGCGGAUACUUAAGUCAGGGGUGAAAUCCCAGAGCUCAACUCUGGAACUGCCUUUGAUACUGGGUAUCUUGAGUAUGGAAGAGGUGAGUGGAAUUCCGAGUGUAGAGGUGAAAUUCGUAGAUAUUCGGAGGAACACCAGUGGCGGAGGCGGCUCACUGGUCCAUUACUGACGCUGAGGUGCGAAAGCGUGGGGAGCAAACAGGAUUAGAGACCCGUGUAGUCCCUGUCUCUUAUAC
RNAcentral lists this ribosomal RNA (301 nucleotides) under uncultured bacterium. Its description in RNAcentral is "partial 16S ribosomal RNA". It matches the Rfam family "Bacterial small subunit ribosomal RNA", at positions 509 to 807 of the family's 1533-position model. The record is from RNAcentral.